RNAcentral lists this Y RNA (102 nucleotides) under Microcebus murinus (gray mouse lemur). RNAcentral's name for it is "Y RNA (ENSMICG00000042563.1)". It matches the Rfam family "Y RNA". Rfam says of the family: Y RNAs are components of the Ro ribonucleoprotein particle (Ro RNP), in association with Ro60 and La proteins. The Y RNAs and Ro60 and La proteins are well conserved, but the function of the Ro RNP is not known. The record is from Rfam by way of RNAcentral. Lineage: Eukaryota; Metazoa; Chordata; Mammalia; Primates; Cheirogaleidae.
GGCUGGCCCGAGCGCUGUGGUGUUUACAACUAAUUGAUCACAACCAGUUACAGGUUGCUUUGUUCCUUCUCCACUCCCACUGCUUCACUUGACCAGCUUACA